RNAcentral lists this ribosomal RNA (253 nucleotides) under uncultured bacterium. RNAcentral describes it as "partial 16S ribosomal RNA". It matches the Rfam family "Bacterial small subunit ribosomal RNA", at positions 524 to 776 of the family's 1533-position model. The record is from RNAcentral.
UACAGAGGUGGCAAGCGUUGUUCGGAAUUACUGGGCGUAAAGGGCGCGUAGGCGGUCUUGUAAGUCUUGUGUGAAAUCCCUCGGCUUAACUGAGGAACUGCACGGGAUACUGCAUGACUUGAGAUCGGGAGAGGGAAGCGGAAUUCCGGGUGUAGCGGUGAAAUGCGUAGAUAUCCGGAGGAACACCGGUGGCGAAGGCGGCUUCCUGGACCAACACUGACGCUGAGGCGCGAAAGCUAGGGGAGCAAACGGG